GACGAACGCUGGCGGCGUGCUUAACACAUGCAAGUCGGGCGGUAAGGCCCUUUCGGGGGUACACGAGCGGCGAACGGGUGAGUAACACGUGGGUGACCUGCCCUCAGCUCUGGGAUAAGCCUGGGAAACCGGGUCUAAUACUGGAUAUGACUCCAUGACGCAUGUUGUGGGGUGGAAAGCCUUGUGCGGCUGAGGAUGGGCCCGCGGCCUAUCAGCUUGUUGGUGGGGUGAUGGCCUACCAAGGCGACGACGGGUAGCCGGCCUGAGAGGGCGACCGGCCACACUGGGACUGAGACACGGCCCAGACUCCUACGGGAGGCAGCAGGUGGGGAAUCUUGCGCAAUGGGCGAAAGCCUGACGCAGCGACGCCGCGUGAGGGA
RNAcentral lists this ribosomal RNA (380 nucleotides) under uncultured bacterium. RNAcentral describes it as "bacterial SSU rRNA". It matches the Rfam family "Bacterial small subunit ribosomal RNA", at positions 28 to 408 of the family's 1533-position model. The record is from RNAcentral.